UGGCACCGCCCGGCUCCUCCCGCCUGGCACAUGCGGAGCGGAAGCGGCGCUCAAAGUUUUCACCAAAAUAAAAAAUAAUAAUAAUAAUAAAAAAAAAUUAGGGGCAUAAAACCAUGUGAACGCGUUCUGAGUUCAUUAAAAGUCGAAUUGCCGCGGGGAAAAACAAACAAACCAACAACAAAAUACCCUGCGCAGUAAAGAGGGCUGACAGAAGGGGGCACCUUUCUCUACACCAGGCUGCUCAAGGCUUCAUCCAGCACUCCUGGAAUGGGGGGGCAUCCACAACUUUGGGCAAUCCAUUCCAGUGCCUCACCACCCUCCUCCUAUCAACUACUUCUGAAGCUAAUAGAGGGUAUUGACUAGAGCUACAGAAUCACUGACCCUCCAACUUAAAUGUGCUCUUCGUGCAGCUCAAAAGGCACAAACUACUUGUCCCACAGAUUACAGACUACAGUGUUUUAAAAGGACAUGGUUGGCUAUUCUACCUGAAGCAACUCACUUGCCAGAUGUGCCAACCUGCAGAAUGCUGGGCAGCCCCCUUGCAAUGACCUAACCUGCUCCUUUUCUCUGCUACAAACAGGCAAAUCAAAUCUUUAGAGUUUAUACGUAAUAAAUCUUUAGAGUUCUAAACAUAACUGGACUUUCCAUUGCUCUAAAGCCAGCCUUUGUGCAAAACAUCCAACACAAAACCUGCACUUAAACCACCACCAAAUAAAACAUCUGCAAUUACCUGGCUACUGACAAGCCUGAUUUGUGUGUAUUUGAACAGUCCUGAAUCAAAAAUCUGUGUCCAAGUACCACUGAAGGGACACAUAUUUGAUGUUGCAAGAACAAGAUCUUGUUCUCCCCGAGAGAAAAAUUACUAGUGACCAUAAUUUUCCAGUUUCUUUAGAAAAGCUGUUGCUGCCAUUUCACUCAGAGCACGGCUCACGCAUAAUGCACUUGUUCAAUUCCACAUGUAAUUGUAGCUUCUUUUGUUUCAAUACCACUGAUGUAUACAAUGAAAGCCAAAAAAACCCAAGAACCAGGUAGUUUUAAGACAUCUUUGCUUUGCUUAGCUGGACAUAAAAAUACACAUGAACACUUCGGAAAUACGAAAAGGGUGCAUACAAAAAUGAUGCAUAUGGACUUUUGACUUCUGGGAAGAGGUUGGUCAAAAAAGAUAAGGGGAUACAUGUCAUUCACUGCAGCUGAGAGUAGCAGCAAGAACUACCAGGUAAACUGCUAGCUCUUUCCUGGCAUUUCUUAGCCCUUUGUGACAGUUCAUCUCAGAGUGAAUUCAAAACACAGCUCUCUUUGAGGACAUACCAUACUAAACACAAAAAAACCCCAAACCCAACCCCAGCAAAAUUUCCAGCCUCCUUAUCUCUGUUUAUAAAAUACAGUAUUGCUGAUAUUCUUGUUUUAUGAGGUGGCACAGGUAUAAGGCAUAACCUGUAACUUAAGAUGCAUCCUUUCAUCUUUAAAAUGUUCUAAAGUUUGUGAAUAAAGGAGAAGGCAUUUGUAACAAGUUUCUGAAUGCAUAAAUUCCUUUAUUGAAAAUAUUGUGAUAGCACUGCAUUACAUAUAUUCAAUAUUCAUAGUUUUAAGGGUCACAGAAUUUUGAUUGAACAACACUGUUUUGAAUAUAGACCACAGCGUUUAGAUAUGCUUUGACAAGGAUAAUAUAAUGAAGUAAGUUGUAGGUAGCAAGAGUGAAAUGUAUGCAAAAUGUUGAACUUGGUUUCAUUUUGUUUGUUGUGGGGAUUUUUUGUUGUGUGUUUGGUUGGGUUUUUUAACUAUUAAGUGGUCUUCUGCCACCAUUUAAAAGAGAAAAGAGUGUUAAAUAUUCUGGGUUUCUUCAAAGCAUUAUGCUGUCAACAACUUUCAAAAUAUUUUAAAGCACUACCAAUACAAACUUUAUUUAUGGCUAUAGUAGACCACAAAGAAAGGAAGUGUGAAAAGCUCAUGUGCAGCGUGUUACAGGCUGUGUAUAGCAUUGUUUUUUUUAGACUGUGCAACUUCUGUGCAGGAUUAAGAUUUAGAAAUGCUUUUGAAAGAAAAGCAAUUGGCU
Long non-coding RNA from Parus major (Great Tit), 2053 nucleotides. RefSeq lists it as uncharacterized. The record is from RefSeq and is a predicted model, not a curated record. NCBI's taxonomy places the organism in Eukaryota, Metazoa, Chordata, Aves, Passeriformes, Paridae. The transcript is spliced from 4 exons.